Miniopterus natalensis is the source of this 878-nucleotide long non-coding RNA. RefSeq lists it as uncharacterized. NCBI's taxonomy places the organism in Eukaryota, Metazoa, Chordata, Mammalia, Chiroptera, Miniopteridae. The record is from RefSeq and is a predicted model, not a curated record.
GCCUCAGGGAGGCGCCCAGACCCCGGGACCUGCUGCUGGAGUUUCUCUCAGCCGCGCUGGGGCCGGCGCGAAGACGGGUUGGACCCUAGAACUCGUGGGCCCACGGUGGAGAAGGGCACCUCUGCUCAAUCCCCUCUCCCAGAGUCGGGGCCUCGGGCGGGACCCGAUCUUCAGGCGGCUCAUCUUCCUGCGGGGCGCCCGCCUCAUGCCACCGGCAGGGCCACGCAGCCUUUCUCCCGCGCCGGACCUCCGCCAAGCGGCGGAGGCAUUAGUGGGCGGAGAGACCAGAACAGGGCGCAUACCGAUCCCCAAAGCCUCUUUCCGAAGCCCGGGUACGAGACGGGAAGCGAGCGCGCACCGAGCAGGUACUGAGAUACGGUCUUUCUCCAUCCCUUGCUUCCGCUGCCUGUGACUUGCCUUGACCAAUAAAGUGUGGAGAAAGUGACACAGUGUGAAUUCCAGAAGAUGUGCCUUCAGCAGCCUUGCCACAGCCACCUUGCUCUCCUAGGACCCUGAGACCAGCCUGCAGGAGGAUGCAAGGGGCCUCAGCCAACAGCCAGGCCUGCUGCCAGAUAUGUGAGUGCAGUCAUCCUUUUGGACCCCCUGGUUCUGUUUAACUAAAAUGACCACAGUCACAGUGUAACUGCAGAACCUGAUCCUGCCCUGUUUCUAACAAGACCUGGAAAUAAAGUUUCAACCUUGGAUACAGCACAUCACAAGCAACACUUGUGAAUAUCAGCCACAGGUAACACUUGUGAGCCCUUAACUGCUACCUCUUAAAACCCCACCCUGAAUACCUGGAGCAGGAGAGGCAUCCGAGUCUUGCCUCCUGUCUCCUUGCCAGUUGACUCCCAAAUAAAGCUCCUUUUUUCUCUCGA